RNAcentral lists this ribosomal RNA (495 nucleotides) under uncultured Sphingobacteriales bacterium. RNAcentral's name for it is "bacterial SSU rRNA". It matches the Rfam family "Bacterial small subunit ribosomal RNA", at positions 903 to 1382 of the family's 1533-position model. Lineage: Bacteria; Pseudomonadati; Bacteroidota; Sphingobacteriia; Sphingobacteriales. The record is from RNAcentral.
UUGCCAGCCCGCUCAGAACUUAAAGGAAUUGACGGGGCCCGCACAAGCGGUGGAGCAUGUGGUUAAUUCGAUGAUACGCGAGGAACCUUACCUGGGCUCAAAUGUAUGUUGACGUAUUCUGAAAGGGAUACUUCUUCGGACAAUAUACAAGGUGCUGCAUGGUUGUCGUCAGCUCGUGCCGUGAGGUGUCGGGUUAAGUCCCAUAACGAGCGCAACCCUAUCAUUAGUUGCCAUCAGGUCAAGCUGGGGACUCUAAUGAAACUGCCUACGCAAGUAGUGAGGAAGGUGGGGAUGACGUCAAAUCAGCACGGCCCUUACGUCCAGGGCUACACACGUGCUACAAUGGCCGGUACAAAGGGCAGCUACCUGGUGACAGGAUGCUAAUCUCAAAAGCCGGUCUCAGUUCGGAUCGGAGUCUGCAACCCGACUCCGUGAAGCCGGAAUCGCUAGUAAUCGCGCAUCAGCCAUGGCGCGGUGAAUACGUUCCCGGGCCUU